Molecule: ribosomal RNA, 296 nt
Filed under: uncultured Thermotoga sp.
Lineage: Bacteria; Thermotogati; Thermotogota; Thermotogae; Thermotogales; Thermotogaceae
Description: partial 16S ribosomal RNA
Rfam family: Bacterial small subunit ribosomal RNA (bases 48-296)
Source: RNAcentral
AAGGCGUGGCGGUGGCCGCGGGACUAUGGGGGUGGCAGGAGGUGAUAGGAAGUACAGGGCGUAGAGGGCACGCAGGCGGGUGGAGAAGUGAGAUGUGAACGCCCCGGGCGCAAACGGGGAAGUGAAUUUAGAACUGUCCAGCUAGAGUCUUGGAGGGGGGGGUAGAAUUCCAGGUGUAGCGGUGAAAUGCGUAGAGAUCUGGAGGAAUACCGGUGGCCAAGGCGGCCCCCUGGACAAAGACUGACGCUCAGGUGCGAAAGCGUGGGGAGCAAACAGGAUUAGAUACCCGAGUAGUC